UCAUCAGAAUCGGGCAAAAAACGGAAGCCCAAAGUGAUCCGAAGCGAUGGAGCCCCAGCUGAAGGAAAGCGGAAUCGAUCUGACACCGAGCAGGAAGGUAAAUACUACAGUGAGGAGGCCGAGGUGGAUCUGCGGGACCCUGGCAGAGACUAUGAGUUAUACAAGUAUACCUGCCAGGAGCUACAGAGGCUGAUGGCUGAGAUCCAAGACCUGAAGAGUAGGGGUGGCAAGGAUGUGGCAAUCGAAAUAGAAGAACGGAGGAUCCAGAGCUGUGUGCAUUUCAUGACUCUAAAGAAGCUUAACCGAUUAGCCCACAUCAGGUUGAAGAAAGGAAGAGAUCAGACCCACGAGGCUAAGCAGAAAGUAGAUGCCUAUCACCUGCAGCUCCAGAACCUGUUGUAUGAGGUGAUGCACCUACAGAAGGAGAUCACCAAAUGUUUGGAGUUUAAGUCAAAGCAUGAAGAAAUUGAUCUGGUCAGUUUAGAGGAGUUUUAUAAGGAGGCUCCACCAGAUAUCAGCAAGGCUGAAGUCACCAUGGGAGACCCUCACCAGCAAACACUAGCACGUCUGGACUGGGAGCUGGAGCAGCGGAAAAGGCUGGCGGAGAAGUACCGAGAGUGCCUAUCCAACAAGGAGAAGAUUCUCAAGGAGAUUGAGGUGAAGAAGGAGUACCUCAGCAGCCUCCAGCCCCGCCUCAACAGCAUCAUGCAGGUGGGGCCCGCUGGCCUUUUGCUUUGCCUCCACCACUGACCAGGUGCUGCCAGAAGCCAUGUCACCCUUUGGGCUUUGCCAGGUCUAUUACCCUAAAUUAUAGUAUAAGGAUGGCCUUGUCUGCAUCCCUACCCAGUUGGUGUGAUAAGCCUGUGUCUGGGAGGAAGAAGUGCUGGCCUCAGGAAUAUAUACACACAUUGACCUGGGUGUUUUCAUCCAGGGCCUUCUCUGGGUAACGUACUUUCUCAGACUGUGUAAAUUUAGUUUACCCCCUGCAAUGGCCCCCACCGGCCUCACAAUCUCCAGGCAUCCAAACUUGCUUCCUGUGGAUGUCUGUUUGAUCCCCCUGACCAUGCUUCAGGGUCAGACUGCUCAGCAGAUCUUCUCACUCUGAAAAAAACUUUACUCAUGAGGAAGAGUCCACACUUUACCUGUAAAAUAUAAUGUCUUUCUAUAUAGGUGACCCACUUUUUAUUUGCUUUGCGAAGCCAGAUUUGGUCUAAAUCCUUAUAAUUUUAUGAAGCAAGGUAGAUGGCUAAUAUGAAAGAACUUUGUAAAAGGAUCCUAGAGAUAAAUUUGCAUUUUUUCUUAGGAUUUGGCAAGAUCUAUAUUUCCUUUCUUCAACUCUAACCGUAGAAGGAGAGUUGUUGACUGCUUGUGGUGCCUCAUGCCUGUAAUCCUAGCACUUCGGGUGGCUGACGGGGGACGAUCACUUGAACCCAGGAGUUUGAGACCAGCCUGGGCAAUAUCGGGAGGCCCUGCCUCUACAAAAAAAAAAUUAACUGGGCGUGGUGGCAUGUGCCUGUCAUCCCAGCUACUUGGAAGGCUGAGGCUGGAGUACAGUGGCAUGAUCUCGGCUCACUGCAAGCUCUGCCUCCCGGGUUCACGCCAUUCUCCUGCCUCAGCCUCCCGUGUAGCUGGGACUACAAGUGCCCGCCACCAUGUGCAGCUAAUUUUUUGUUUUAUAUUUUUAGUAGAGACGGGGUUUCACCAUGUUAGCCAGGAUGGUCUCGAUCUCCUGACUUUAUGAUCUGCCCACCUCGGCCUCCCAAAGUGCUGGGAUUACAGGCGUGAGCCACCAUGCCCGGCCUAAAAUGCUUUUUAUUUUACUUUAUAUAUUGCACAGUUGAUCCUCAUGCACUGUGCAGAGUCUGCAAACUUGAAACUGAAGGCGAUCUAGUUCAGUCAUUCCCGAGUCAAGAAAAAAAAGAAAAAAAAAAUAGA
Molecule: small RNA, 1935 nt
Filed under: Pongo abelii (Sumatran orangutan)
Lineage: Eukaryota; Metazoa; Chordata; Mammalia; Primates; Hominidae
Description: retained intron
Source: RNAcentral